This 402-nucleotide ribosomal RNA is filed under the name uncultured prokaryote. RNAcentral's name for it is "bacterial SSU rRNA". It matches the Rfam family "Bacterial small subunit ribosomal RNA", at positions 355 to 774 of the family's 1533-position model. The record is from RNAcentral.
UAGGGAAUAUUAGAAAUGGACGAAAGUCUGAUCUAGCAACACCGCGUGUGCGAAGAAGGCCUUCGGGUUGUAAAGCACUUUUUGGAAGGAUUAGGAAGGAAUGUACUUCCAGAAUAAGUCUCGGCUAACUACGUGCCAGCAGCCGCGGUAACACGUAGGAGGCAAACGUUAUCCGGAUUUACUGGGCGUAAAGCGCGUGUAGGUGGUUCUGUAAGUAGGGCGUGAAAGCUCCUGGCUCAACUGGGAUAGGCCGUUCUAAACUGCAGAGCUAGAGGAUGGUAGAGGGAGGUGGAAUUCCGGGUGUAGCGGUGGAAUGCGCAGAUAUCCGGAGGAACAGCAGUGGCGGAAGCGGGCUCCUGGACCAUUCCUGACACUCAGACGCGAAAGCUAGGGUAGCAAACG